This 520-nucleotide ribosomal RNA is filed under the name uncultured Glomeromycotina. Its description in RNAcentral is "SSU rRNA". It matches the Rfam family "Eukaryotic small subunit ribosomal RNA", at positions 569 to 1095 of the family's 1831-position model. Lineage: Eukaryota; Fungi; Glomeromycota. The record is from RNAcentral.
AGCAGCCGCGGUAAUUCCAGCUCCAAUAGCGUAUAUUAAAGUUGUUGCAGUUAAAAAGCUCGUAGUUGAAUUUUAGGCCUGGCCGGGCGGUCCGUCUUUGGCGAGUACUGUCCUGUGUUGGGUCUUCCUUAUGGUGAACCAGUAUGUCUUUUAUUGGGUGUGCCGGGGAGCCAGGACCAUUACCUUGAAAAAAUUAGAGUGUUUAAAGCGGGCUAUUGCUUGAAUAGAUUAGCAUGGAAUAAUAGAAUAGGACGUUGUGGUUCUAUUUUGUUGGUUUCUAGGACCACCGUAAUGAUUAAUAGGGAUAGUUGGGGGCAUUAGUAUUCAAUUGUCAGAGGUGAAAUUCUUGGAUUUAUUGAAGACUAACUACUGCGAAAGCAUUUGCCAAGGAUGUUUUCAUUAAUCAAGAACGAAGUUAGGGGAUCGAAGACGAUCAGAUACCGUCGUAGUUUUAACCAUAAACUAUGCCGACUAGGAAUCGGGCGACGUUAUUUAAUGACUCGCUCGGCGCCUUAUGGGA